This 495-nucleotide ribosomal RNA is filed under the name uncultured bacterium. RNAcentral's name for it is "partial 16S ribosomal RNA". It matches the Rfam family "Bacterial small subunit ribosomal RNA", at positions 28 to 507 of the family's 1533-position model. The record is from RNAcentral.
GAUGAACGCUGGCGGCGUGCCUAAUACAUGCAAGUCGAGCGAACAGACGAGGAGCUUGCUCCUCUGACGUUAGCGGCGGACGGGUGAGUAACACGUGGAUAACCUACCUAUAAGACUGGGAUAACUUCGGGAAACCGGAGCUAAUACCGGAUAAUAUAUUGAACCGCAUGGUUCAAUAGUGAAAGACGGUUUUGCUGUCACUUAUAGAUGGAUCCGCGCCGCAUUAGCUAGUUGGUAAGGUAACGGCUUACCAAGGCAACGAUGCGUAGCCGACCUGAGAGGGUGAUCGGCCACACUGGAACUGAGACACGGUCCAGACUCCUACGGGAGGCAGCAGUAGGGAAUCGUCCGCAAUGGGAAAGCCUGACGGAGCAACGCCGCGUGAGUGAUGAAGGUCUUCGGAUCGUAAAACUCUGUUAUUAGGGAAGAACAAAUGUGUAAGUAACUAUGCACGUCUUGACGGUACCUAAUCAGAAAGCCACGGCUAACUACGUG